This 72-nucleotide transfer RNA is filed under the name Ovis aries (sheep). It matches the Rfam family "tRNA". From Rfam's summary of the family: Transfer RNA (tRNA) molecules are approximately 80 nucleotides in length. Their secondary structure includes four short double-helical elements and three loops (D, anti-codon, and T loops). The record is from Rfam by way of RNAcentral. RNAcentral also lists the same sequence under 3 other names. Lineage: Eukaryota; Metazoa; Chordata; Mammalia; Artiodactyla; Bovidae.
UCCCUGAUAGCUCAGUUGGUAAAGAAUCUGCCUGCAAUGCAGGAGACCCAGGUUCGAUUCCUGGGUUGGGAA